UGGGGAAUAUUGCACAAUGGAGGGAACUCUGAUGCAGCGACGCCGCGUGAACGAAGAAGGCUUUCGAGUCGUAAAGUUCUUUUAUAUGGGAAGAUAAUGACGGUACCAUAAGAAAAAGCCCCGGCUAACUACGUGCCAGCAGCCGCGGUAAUACGUAGGGGGCUAGCGUUGUCCGGAAUCACUGGGCGUAAAGGGUUCGCAGGCGGAAAUGCAAGUCAGGUGUAAAAGGCAGUAGCUUAACUACUGUAAGCAUUUGAAACUGCAUAUCUUGAGAAGAGUAGAGGUAAGUGGAAUUUUUAGUGUAGCGGUGAAAUGCGUAGAUAUUAAAAAGAACACCGGUGGCGAAGGCGACUUACUGGGCUCAUUCUGACGCUGAGGAACGAAAGCGUGGGUAGCAAACAGG
RNAcentral lists this ribosomal RNA (403 nucleotides) under Fusobacteriota bacterium. Its description in RNAcentral is "Fusobacteria bacterium partial 16S ribosomal RNA". It matches the Rfam family "Bacterial small subunit ribosomal RNA", at positions 355 to 776 of the family's 1533-position model. Lineage: Bacteria; Fusobacteriati; Fusobacteriota. The record is from RNAcentral.